Molecule: ribosomal RNA, 485 nt
Filed under: uncultured bacterium
Lineage: Bacteria
Description: partial 16S ribosomal RNA
Rfam family: Bacterial small subunit ribosomal RNA
Source: RNAcentral
GAUGAACGCUGGCGGCGUGCUUAACACAUGCAAGUCGAACGGGAUCCAAGGGGUGCUUGCACUUUUUGGUGAGAGUGGCGAACGGGUGAGUAACACGUGAGUAACCUGUCCUUUUCUUUGGGAUAAGCAUUCGAAAGGGUGUUUAAUACCUUAUGUUCUGUCUGCCUCGCAUGGGGUGGGUGGGAAAGGCUUUGGCCGGAUUUGGGUGGGCUCGCGGUCUAUCAGCUUGUUGGUGGGGUGAUGGCUUACCAAGGCUUUGACGGGUAGCCGGCCUGAGAGGGUGGUCGGUCACAUGGGGACUGAGAUACGGCCCAGACGCCUGCGGGAGGCAGCAGUGGGGGAUAUUGCACAAUGGGCGAAAGCCUGAUGCAGCGACGCCGCGUGGGGGAUGAAGGCCUUCGGGUUGUAAACUUCUUUUGCUCUGAACAAGGCAUGCCAGUGGGUGUGUUGAGUGUAGGGGUUGAUUAGCGCCGGCUAACUACGUG